GAUUGAACGCUGGCGGCAGGCCUAACACAUGCAAGUCGAGCGGAUGAAGGGAGCUUGCUCCUGGAUUCAGCGGCGGACGGGUGAGUAAUGCCUAGGAAUCUGCCUGGUAGUGGGGGAUAACGUCCGGAAACGGGCGCUAAUACCGCAUACGUCCUGAGUGAGAAAGUGGGGGAUCUUCGGACCUCACGCUAUCAGAUGAGCCUAGGUCGGAUUAGCUAGUUGGUGGGGUAAAGGCCUACCAAGGCGACGAUCCGUAACUGGUCUGAGAGGAUGAUCAGUCACACUGGAACUGAGACACGGUCCAGACUCCUACGGGAGGCAGCAGUGGGGAAUAUUGGACAAUGGGCGAAAGCCUGAUCCAGCCAUGCCGCGUGUGUGAAGAAGGUCUUCGGAUUGUAAAGCACUUUAAGUUGGGAGGAAGGGAAGUAAGUUAAUACCUUGCUGUUUUGACGUUACCAACAGAAUAAGCACCGGCUAACUUCGUG
This 485-nucleotide ribosomal RNA is filed under the name uncultured bacterium. Its description in RNAcentral is "partial 16S ribosomal RNA". It matches the Rfam family "Bacterial small subunit ribosomal RNA", at positions 27 to 507 of the family's 1533-position model. The record is from RNAcentral.